UUGAGCUGGAUGAGGGGAAACUCUCACGUCCAGUUCUGAGGGGAGGGGGUGGCGGUAACGCCACCUCCUUACCCGGC
RNAcentral lists this non-coding RNA (77 nucleotides) under Singulisphaera sp. GP187. The record is from RNAcentral. Lineage: Bacteria; Pseudomonadati; Planctomycetota; Planctomycetia; Isosphaerales; Isosphaeraceae.